GGGUAUGUGUAUAUCCACCACGGGAUGUUGAAGCCAAGUGGUUAUCGAACCUACUACUUCCGUUAUGCACACACGGAAGCGGUGACAAUUGCUGGGAGGGAUAUAUGAAAGAUUUUGGAAAAGUGGUACAAGGCCUCGGCCUUUUUACGUUGGUUGUACUGGCCAAUAUGUUUCUGACAGGCUUUAUUGUCUGGCAACUGUGGACGUACCUCUUUCCUGCAGCUGAUCAGCCGGGGUAUCUGUCGUUUGUGGUUGGUGUGUUUAUUGCAAGACUGCUGACUGGUGGGGCACUCCUCCCACGUUGGAUGGACAAGGGGAUUGAGAAGUGAAUGAAAAGCUCCCUGAGAUGGUGGUAUCAACUAUUGAAGAGGCACCAAGCAACUACUACAUCCGGACUGCAACAGAUGAGUAUCUUUUUAUUAAGACGAAAUCUAGGGAAAAGAACCCCUGUGAGGGGAGUGAAAUAGAACCUGAAACCGGAUGCGUACAAGCAGUCAGAGCCCGCAAGGGUGAUGGCGUACCUUUUGUAUAAUGGGUCAGCGACUUACUAGUCUGUAGCGAGCCUAACCGUAUAGGGAAGGCGUAGGGAAACCGAGUCUUAAUAGGGCGCUUAGUUGCAGGCUGUAGACCCGAAACCCGUCGAUCUAUCCAUGUCCAGGGUGAAGUUGUGGUAACACACAAUGGAGGCCCGAACUCACGCCUGUUGAAAAAGUCGGAGAUGAGGUGUGGAUAGGAGUGAAAGGCUAAUCAAGGCGGGUGAUAGCUGGUUCUCCUCGAAAGCUAUUGAGGUAGCGCCUCGCGUCUAACUCAGGGGGGUAGAGCACUGUUACGGCUAGGGGGGACAUAAGUCCUUACCAAACCGUUGCAAACUCCGAAUACCCUGAAGUUCAAUCGCGGGAGACACACGGUGGGAGCUAAAUUUCAUCGUGAAGAGGGAAACAACCCAGACCGCCAGCUAAGGUCCCUAAAUUAUCGCUAAGUGGUAAACGAUGUGGGAAGGCAUAGACAGCCAGGAUGUUGGCUUAGAAGCAGCCAUCAUUUAAAGAAAGCGUAAUAGCUCACUGGUCGAGUCGGCCCGCGCGGAAGAUGUAACGGGGCUAAGCGAUAUACCGAAGCUGCGGGUGCAUAGCAAUAUGCGCGGUAGAGGAGCGUUCCGUAAGCCUGUGAAGGUGACUCGUAAGGGUUGCUGGAGGUAUCGGAAGUGCGAAUGCUGACAUGAGUAACGAUAAUGCAGGUGAAAAACCUGCACGCCGUAAGCCCAAGGUUUCCUGCGCAACGAUUUUCGGCGCAGGGUAAGUCGGAUCCUAAGGCGAGGCCGAAAGGCGUAGUCGAUGGCAAACAGGUUAAUAUUCCUGUACUUCCUUAGCUGCGAUGGGAGGACGGAGAAGGUUAGACCAGCCACCUGUUGGAUGGUGGUUUAAGCGUGUAGGAGUGCACUCUAGGCAAAUCCGGAGUGAUGAUCUGAAGCGUGAUGACGAGUCUCUUCUGAGACGAAGUGGUUGAUACCAUGCUUCCAAGAAAAGUCCCUAAGCUUCAGGCAAAAGGAAUCCGUACCCCAAACCGACACAGGUGGGCGAGGAGAGUAUCCUAAGGCGUUUGAGAGAACUCGGGAGAAGGAACUCGGCAAAUUUGAACCGUAACUUCGGGAUAAGGUUCGCCUACGCAAGUAGGCCGCAGUGAAGAGGGGGUUGCGACUGUUUAUCAAAAACACAGCACUCUGCAAACACGAAAGUGGACGUAUAGGGUGUGACUCCUGCCCGGUGCUGGAAGGUUAAUUGAUGGGGUCAGCCGCAAGGCGAAGCUCUUGAUCGAAGCCCCAGUAAACGGCGGCCGUAACUAUAACGGUCCUAAGGUAGCGAAAUUCCUUGUCGGGUAAGUUCCGACCUGCACGAAUGGUGUAACGAUGGCCACACUGUCUCCUCCCGAGACUCAGCGAAGGUGAAAUGUAUCGUGACUGGGAAAC
RNAcentral lists this ribosomal RNA (1963 nucleotides) under freshwater metagenome. RNAcentral describes it as "bacterial LSU rRNA". The stretch from base 372 to 1963 matches the Rfam family "Bacterial large subunit ribosomal RNA", at positions 1 to 2066 of the family's 2925-position model. The record is from RNAcentral.